RNAcentral lists this ribosomal RNA (301 nucleotides) under uncultured bacterium. RNAcentral describes it as "partial 16S ribosomal RNA". It matches the Rfam family "Bacterial small subunit ribosomal RNA", at positions 509 to 809 of the family's 1533-position model. The record is from RNAcentral.
CAGCAGCCGCGGUAAUACGAAGGGUGCAAGCGUUAAUCGGAAUUACUGGGCGUAAAGCGUGCGUAGGUGGUGGUUUAAGUCCGUUGUGAAAGCCCUGGGCUCAACCUGGGAAUUGCAGUGGAUACUGGAUCACUAGAGUGUGGUAGAGGAUAGUGGAAUUUCCGGUGUAGCAGUGAAAUGCGUAGAGAUCGGAAGGAACAUCUGUGGCGAAGGCGACUAUCUGGGCCAACACUGACACUGAGGCACGAAAGCGUGGGGAGCAAACAGGAUUAGAUACCCCCGUAGUCCCUGUCUCUUAUAA